UUAAAACCAUUUCUAUUGAAAAUAAGGUCCAUUCAUUCAUACAUUUGUCAAUUUACACUGUCCAUACAAAAGAAGAUAAAAACAGUACAAUUUUUACGAAAGUUAACUUUUGGUCAACUGUUGACUUUUUGAUCAACUAGUUGACCAAAGUCAACUAACCUGAUUUUUACAUGACCAAACCCUAAUGCUCAUUGUAUAUUCAUUCGUGCAUCUUUCCAUGUGAUUCCAUGUUUAAUUCUUCAAGAGCAAGAAAACCUCACUUUUGCACCAAGUAUUGUUUCUUGCCAUGCCUUGAAUGAUCAUUUGUCAAGCCUUGCUUUUGCCUUGCCUUGAGGUCAUGUUCAAUUUCUAAGCAACCCUGCAUCAAACAUCCAUAAGCAACCAUGUUAACCAAAGCAAACAAGACAUUCAACAUAUCAUGGCCUUGACAUAUAAAAAUUCAAGCAUAGCUAGUAGCUGCAACCAUCGUUCCAUUUCAUAACACAUCAACAAAUAAGUAGAGUUGGACAUUUGGUUCACAUCAUAAUAACACAUAACUAAUAGCCAACAAUUAUACAAGGCAAAUGUCAAAGUAAGGUUGCAACAUUCACCAGUCCAAAACAGGCCAAGCAACAUGUUCAUCCAAACAGGUAUUAAAACAUAAAACCUAGUAAUGCAAAAUUCACAUGGGCAGGUAACAAAUUCAUGCAUCAACUAUGAAAUUCAAAUAGAAAGUGGAUUAGAAAACAGGUCACCAUCUGCAAGCCUGCAAGUUGCUAAUCAGAUUGAACCUAAUAAAACAUUGCAUGUAAACAUGCAUGUCCUAUCAACCAUGACGUGCACCAAUAGGUCAUAACCAACAAAACCCGACAGUACCAAAGCAAUUUUAAACCAAGACAAGUUCAACAGGUCACCUUGCAAUUUCCAGAUAAAAGCCCAACCUGCAACAACAUGUCAUCAUCAUCAACUUGCAACCUACAUUAACCAUAAAUUAACAUAACCCACACUAGUAAAACCAACAUGCAAAACUUGCACUUUGCCCAAACAACAUAACCUACAACAUGUUCAGCGUGUCAUCAACACACAUUUCCACUUAACUUCAAUACAAGCUACCUACAACAACCAGUCAUAACAAACUGAUUAUCUAACUAACAUUGAUUGAAUUUGAAACUUAACUAAUAAAAAACAUUUUAACUAACUACAAAAUCAAGUUUAACAGAAAAAUGAUCCCUAACUGAAAAUCGCGACUCUCAAGGAUUAACAAAGUUUAAACUUCUAAAAAAACUUUCCACAUUGAGAAUUAACAAAGUUAGACCUGUUAAAUCUCUCCCUCCUCUAUAAAUAGUUCAUCACUCUGUAAUUUUCAUUCACCAUUAAUUGUUGCCGAGAAACUAAAACCUCUCAUUCUCUUUCAACCUUAAUUAUUCCUCAAUCUUACACCUCAACUAUCUCUGUAUCACACUUCUACAAUCCACUAUUUCAUUCUCAGAUUACGCACGAAGAAGAAGGAGAGGAUUCAAAGUUAAGAAGAAGAAUUGGAGUAGCAGGAGGAGGUAUUAAAAAAAAAGAUUUAUACCUGAAGCUUGUUCAUAUAUCUCUAUUGGCUCCAAUCUCAGACAUUCAUCUUCGACAGGUAACUUUGAUCUUCUUCACCAUUUGGCUUCAUUAUUGUUACCACCAUGUAGCAUAGGCGACGAGGAAUCAAAACCAUGACCUUAGGGACUUUGAUUCCUUCAUCUAAUCAUUUAAUUUGUAAUUUCGUGGUUAGGAUUCAUAGUUGUUUUUGUACGAUUUGGAAAAUGCAUGAGGUUUCAGGUGAAUUCAGUGUUGGAUUUGGUUAGAGCUCGAAAAUUAGAUUGAAAUAGUGUAUAUGGAUAUGGUGUUUGAUGCUCCAUCACCAGUGGUGAGCUCUGUCGCAAUGGAGAAUGAGAGAUAGGAAGUGAUUGAACUGAGCAUGAG
RNAcentral lists this long non-coding RNA (1938 nucleotides) under Lathyrus oleraceus (garden pea). RNAcentral describes it as "Pisum sativum (pea) long non-coding RNA (PSAT_LNC034183)". The record is from RNAcentral. Lineage: Eukaryota; Viridiplantae; Streptophyta; Magnoliopsida; Fabales; Fabaceae.